UACGUAGGGUGCAAGCGUUGUCCGGAAUUAUUGGGCGUAAAUAGCUCGUAGGCGGUCUGUCGCGUCUGCUGUGAAAACUCAGGGCUUAACCCUGAGCUUGCAGUGGGUACGGGCAGACUAGAGUGCGGUAGGGGAGACUGGAAUUCCUGGUGUAGCGGUGAAAUGCGCAGAUAUCAGGAGGAACACCGGUGGCGAAGGCGGGUCUCUGGGCCGUAACUGACGCUGAGGAGCGAAAGCAUGGGGAGCGAACAGG
This 253-nucleotide ribosomal RNA is filed under the name uncultured bacterium. Its description in RNAcentral is "partial 16S ribosomal RNA". It matches the Rfam family "Bacterial small subunit ribosomal RNA", at positions 524 to 776 of the family's 1533-position model. The record is from RNAcentral.